AGGUACGACAGACGGUUUUAAAACACAAAGUUUAUUGGUAUAUCUGGCCAAAGACAAUAAAACCGGUGACAAAUGGACGACCACAAAUUUAUCAUCCCAAGAAGUAAUAGUUUACUUAAGCUUGUUCACAUAUCAUGACGAACAAGGCUUCCUUGGAGAUGGUCUGCUUAACCCCGAUGAAUUAAAAAGUUGCAUGGCAGCUUUAAGAUUAAGUGAUGACGACCAAAGAUUUAUAGCGUGGAUUUUUAAAGGUGACGAAACGGUUAAUUUCUCGGAGUUCUUAUUCGGCAUUUUAGCAGCAAAAGAAAAAGGCAUAGAAGGAUUCAACCGAGGGCUAAACAUGUACCAGAUUGAUUACUUGAGCAGUUUUAUACAACAGAAGACAAAUGACGAUUACAUUCCAACUCGUAUAAUAACACAGAUCGUCCAAGGGUUACCAAUAAUUAAAGGCCAGCAUAAGGAAUGGAACU
This is a long non-coding RNA of Adelges cooleyi (spruce gall adelgid), 470 nucleotides long. RefSeq lists it as uncharacterized. The transcript is spliced from 4 exons. The record is from RefSeq and is a predicted model, not a curated record. Lineage: Eukaryota; Metazoa; Arthropoda; Insecta; Hemiptera; Adelgidae.